Molecule: non-coding RNA, 1621 nt
Filed under: Saccharomyces cerevisiae (brewer's yeast)
Lineage: Eukaryota; Fungi; Ascomycota; Saccharomycetes; Saccharomycetales; Saccharomycetaceae
Description: ribosomal RNA
Rfam family: Bacterial small subunit ribosomal RNA
Source: RNAcentral
UUUUAUAAGAAUAUGAUGUUGGUUCAGAUUAAGCGCUAAAUAAGGACAUGACACAUGCGAAUCAUACGUUUAUUAUUGAUAAGAUAAUAAAUAUGUGGUGUAAACGUGAGUAAUUUUAUUAGGAAUUAAUGAACUAUAGAAUAAGCUAAAUACUUAAUAUAUUAUUAUAUAAAAAUAAUUUAUAUAAUAAAAAGGAUAUAUAUAUAAUAUAUAUUUAUCUAUAGUCAAGCCAAUAAUGGUUUAGGUAGUAGGUUUAUUAAGAGUUAAACCUAGCCAACGAUCCAUAAUCGAUAAUGAAAGUUAGAACGAUCACGUUGACUCUGAAAUAUAGUCAAUAUCUAUAAGAUACAGCAGUGAGGAAUAUUGGACAAUGAUCGAAAGAUUGAUCCAGUUACUUAUUAGGAUGAUAUAUAAAAAUAUUUUAUUUUAUUUAUAAAUAUUAAAUAUUUAUAAUAAUAAUAAUAAUAUAUAUAUAUAAAUUGAUUAAAAAUAAAAUCCAUAAAUAAUUAAAAUAAUGAUAUUAAUUACCAUAUAUAUUUUAUAUGGAUAUAUAUAUUAAUAAUAAAAUUAAUUUAUUAUUAUUAAUAAUAUAUUUUAAUAGUCCUGACUAAUAUUUGUGCCAGCAGUCGCGGUAACACAAAGAGGGCGAGCGUUAAUCAUAAUGGUUUAAAGGAUCCGUAGAAUGAAUUAUAUAUUAUAAUUUAGAGUUAAUAAAAUUAAUUAAAGAAUUAUAAUAGUAAAGAUGAAAUAAUAAUAAUAAUUAUAAGACUAAUAUAUGUGAAAAUAUUAAUUAAAUAUUAACUGACAUUGAGGGAUUAAAACUAGAGUAGCGAAACGGAUUCGAUACCCGUGUAGUUCUAGUAGUAAACUAUGAAUACAAUUAUUUAUAAUAUAUAUUAUAUAUAAAUAAUAAAUGAAAAUGAAAGUAUUCCACCUGAAGAGUACGUUAGCAAUAAUGAAACUCAAAACAAUAGACGGUUACAGACUUAAGCAGUGGAGCAUGUUAUUUAAUUCGAUAAUCCACGACUAACCUUACCAUAUUUUGAAUAUUAUAAUAAUUAUUAUAAUUAUUAUAUUACAGGCGUUACAUUGUUGUCUUUAGUUCGUGCUGCAAAGUUUUAGAUUAAGUUCAUAAACGAACAAAACUCCAUAUAUAUAAUUUUAAUUAUAUAUAAUUUUAUAUUAUUUAUUAAUAUAAAGAAAGGAAUUAAGACAAAUCAUAAUGAUCCUUAUAAUAUGGGUAAUAGACGUGCUAUAAUAAAAUGAUAAUAAAAUUAUAUAAAAUAUAUUUAAUUAUAUUUAAUUAAUAAUAUAAAACAUUUUAAUUUUUAAUAUAUUUUUUUAUUAUAUAUUAAUAUGAAUUAUAAUCUGAAAUUCGAUUAUAUGAAAAAAGAAUUGCUAGUAAUACGUAAAUUAGUAUGUUACGGUGAAUAUUCUAACUGUUUCGCACUAAUCACUCAUCACGCGUUGAAACAUAUUAUUAUCUUAUUAUUUAUAUAAUAUUUUUUAAUAAAUAUUAAUAAUUAUUAAUUUAUAUUUAUUUAUAUCAGAAAUAAUAUGAAUUAAUGCGAAGUUGAAAUACAGUUACCGUAGGGGAACCUGCGGUGGGCUUAUAAAUAUC